Molecule: transfer RNA, 88 nt
Filed under: Thermaerobacter sp. PB12/4term
Lineage: Bacteria; Bacillati; Bacillota; Clostridia; Eubacteriales; Clostridiales Family XVII. Incertae Sedis
Description: tRNA-Ser
Rfam family: tRNA
About the family: Transfer RNA (tRNA) molecules are approximately 80 nucleotides in length. Their secondary structure includes four short double-helical elements and three loops (D, anti-codon, and T loops).
Source: RNAcentral
GGAAGGGUGGCGGAGUGGUUGAACGCGGCGGUCUUGAAAACCGCUGUGGGCCUCGGGCCCACCGUGGGUUCGAAUCCCACCCCUUCCG